Schistocerca gregaria is the source of this 844-nucleotide long non-coding RNA. RefSeq lists it as uncharacterized. Lineage: Eukaryota; Metazoa; Arthropoda; Insecta; Orthoptera; Acrididae. The record is from RefSeq and is a predicted model, not a curated record. The transcript is spliced from 3 exons.
GCUGGCACAGUACUUACAGUAGAAUAUCUUUGGCUUCCCUCUGACAACCAUGCCUCCAUCCUUGCUACCCUCCCUGUUUUCCUUUCCCUGUUGCUUUAUAACCUGGGUUGUGAGUAACUGAAUCCACUUUCCCUUCUUCCCCCUCUCUCCUCCCUGGUGAAGGAAAAUUUGUUCCAAAAGCUAGGAACGUAAAUUUUCGUUUUUUUUUUUUUCUUUUUCUUUUUUGUAUCUAUCGGCUGUACUGAGCUGAGGUAAUAACAAUUAGGUCAAUGAAUUUCAAAUCCAUGAGAGAAAAAGAGGACAUGUUAUCAGUGAUAUGUGCUUGCUAAGGAGCUUGCAGCAUAAAGUUCCCAUAGAACUUUUGUGCACUACAUAAAGGUACACAUAUCUGGAUUUAAAAUGGCAGGAAAAGGAACAGUGGCAGUGACUUAUCUUCAAAGACAGGAAUAAUGAACGUAGAUCUACUGAAGAAUAAUCCUAUAAUCAACAAGUGAUUCAUAUAUAAGAAAUGUUAACAUCCAGAUCUGUAUGACACUGAACACAAUGUAAAUUAAACAGUUAAAUAUUCCAGACUGAUUGUAAAGUGUGGGAUUAGUAGCACCUGACAUAUGCAGCAUGUUCUAGUUAAAAAUUUUGAGAUGUUUGGACCUUGUGAAGGGCUUAAAUCAAAAACAAAGUAACUGAAUGAAUUCAGACUGUUUCCAACAUGUAAAUUCAAGAUGAUUCUCAUGUUUCCUGCCAGGUGGUAUGAACUUCUGUUUAAUUUAUGACGGAUGUGUACCGGACAGAUGAUCGGCACGGGCAGGUAGUCACCAAGCCCACCUAAGAAGUUAAACGUCCAUCU